CACCCCCCCUCCCCGCCCGCUCCGCUCUCCCUCUCUCGAUUGGAGCCGAGACAAAAGCAACGGGAAGCGGCGGGCCAGGACGCUGCCCGCGGACCCCGGGCGCGGCCGGACCGGCCCCGAGGCAUUCCCCAGCCUUGAGGGGGCCCCGAAUCCGCCGCCCCCGCCGCGCGCCCCGCUGCCAGACUUCCGAAAAUUUGCCAAAAACUCACCGCAUGAAUUUUCUUGUCCCGCGGAUCCAAGAUGGCGACGUAUCCACCGCGGAGGCUGCUGGGAGCAAGACCUUUACCCUCUGACCCCCGCCGUGACCCCCGUCGUUCCGGCUUCCCUCAAGGCGGCGGCGGAAGCACCCGCAACCUCCGGUUCUUGUGCACGCACUUCCAGGGACUUGGCAGCACGUCACCAUCACCUCCUGAGAAGGUGAAUUGAUUAUUGUACUGAGUACAGCAAACAGCUUUUUCCACUAAGAAUAUAUAAAAAAGAAACUGUCAAAGAAGUAAAAGAGGAGAAUGAGCUGUCACAGGUUACAAGAAUUUCAAAAAGGUAGGAAAAUCAAGACACAGAGACUAACUUGCCUGAUGUUAUGAAGCUAGGAAAUGGAAGACCUGUGGUCCAGAUUCCAGGUAGUCUGGUUCCCCCGGCUUAAUCACUAUACACAGGGUCACUCUUUAAACAGAAAGGAAUUUGCUGGCAUGACUGAUGAAAUCUGAUGGGACAGUGGAGCAUGGGCAGGGCACUUCGAGCCUCUGCUCACAUGUGGUCCCACUUCCCACCACCUCUGCACUUCCUGCUUCUCUGGGUUCUUGGCUACCCACUCCCCACCUGUAGUGCUCCGGGUGGCAAGUAAGAUGCCCAAUGCGAGGCUCUGAGAUGCGAAAUGACUUCCUCAAGGUGACAUGGCCUGCGUGGCUCAUUAUUCCGUGAUACUACCUCCCCGGGGAUGUGGUUGAAGAUGGAGAGGAGAAGAAAUGCUAAGAAAGAAGCUCUGUGGCUUUGUUCUAUUAGCAAGACCGGAUGGAGUGUUGGUGAAACAGCAGUGAAACCUCACGGAACAAAAUGAGAUCACUCCUGCAACGGUUCUGCCCCAGAGCAUAUUUAUAAGCAAUUUCAGAAAGAAAAUAUCAGUUCAUGUUGUACUGGACCAAACACCAGUGACGAGCUGGGAGAAAGUUCAGGAGUCUCCAGUGGCCAUGAGAAGACUGACCGCUUUACAAAUCUCUUCAGUGAUUCCUAUCCCUAGCAGAGGAACUGAAACAGAGAAAUUCUCAGUUUUUAUUAAAAUGACUUGCCAGCAUUUUUCUUUUCACGUCCUUGGCUUAUGAUCUGCAGUAACUUGCACUGGUUAUUAUAAAUGUUUUUCUGUAUCCUGGGUUUGAAAGCAAAAAUGCAACAAGGAAGGUUUUUGAACUUGCCGUCCUCCCUUCCCUGCCAGUUGCUCCAGUCAUGAUUGCCUUUCCUGUUGUUUUUUUUUUUCCUCAUCAUGAUUCCUUUUUAAUUCCUAUCACCCAUUUCCCCUAUCCUUCCACCCACCUCUCCUCUGGGAACCAUCAGUCUAUUCUCUAUAGUAAAGAGUCUGUUUCUUGGUUUCUCUCUCUCUCUCCUUGGGAAAAAGGCUUUAAAAGCAUCAGAGAGGAUUACAUGAAGACCCAGAGACAUCAGGGCGCGCAUGUGUGUCUCGGUGUGCACGGUGCUUCUGAGGACACGUGUGAGCGCAUGAUGCGUGAGUGUGGCUGCGCAGGCUUGGGUCCCUCCGGCUCAGUACUCAGGGCAUCUGCACAGGGGCUGGGAGGCAACCCGCAGGCGGGUGCUGGUCUCUUCUCAGCCGUGAUUUGGGAAGGAGGAGGAAGAGGCCUGAAGGUAAAACACGGGGUGAGAGAUUACAGGUUUCGUAAACCAAGUAAACCAAGUAAUCCAUUUCGGAAUGAAAUCGCUGUUGAGGCUGUCCAGACGUCCGUGGCAUAUUUAUGAAGAGAACGGAAAACCCUCACAGUGAUUCUAAAGCCAUCCCUGGCUUGGUAUCCACAUCCACGCUAUAGAAAGGGUUUAUAGCCGGCGGCAUCUAAAGAUCUCAGAAAACCCCUUCUAGACGAUGCCAUACUCAUGAUUGCCUCUCGCCUUUCUGUCGUUCUCUCCGCAUGCCAUCUCUGAAUCCGAUUUAGCAAUCUCAGGCCGGGCACGGGGCCUCACGUUUCGUGGCUCCGUAAGGGGGGGGGGGUAGGGUAAAAGCAGAAGGGAGCCACUCUAGAUAAAGGCGCUGCCUGAGGAGACCCCGUUAGUGGAGACUCUACUGAGCACAAGGCUGGCGAAUGCCGGUCAUCAGCCACACGAAGUAAGGGAAGAGUGCCUGCUAGAAAAUGCCCCAACCGCCGUGGGAAACAGAGCCCGGUAAACAGCAGCAAUAAACAUUUACAGAAAAUAGAAUCACACCUCUAAGCUCGGCAAUGAAGGACAUUUGCAUUUAGAAUAAUGAAAACAGAACAUAAAUUGUUAGAAAAUUUUGGUAGAAACAUAUUGCGGGAUGAAGUGGAAGGUAGUUGAGCUAAUGUCUAAAAUUGACGAACGGUAGCAGCGUAAGUAUAUUCUUUAGAAACGUAGGCCUCGUUCAAGAACAAAGAGCAGAAAUUCCUUGCUGCUGGUGUGUGAGAGAGAACUAUAUCCUCAACCGUGAGCUCACUGGUCCCAUUCAACUCCCGAAAUCACAUGCAUGUAUUACUCUGAUAAAAUAACAUUUGAAAACAUGGAAUUUUGUCCACUUCCAUAACUCAGUGCAUUGGGAAGUCAGCAUGACUAAUUCCUCAUUCCCUGUGUAAAGACAAAAGAUCACAGCUUCUCCCAUCUUGCACAUUCCUCAAUUUGGAGCCCUUUAUCCUCUGCAAUCCAAAAACACUGUAACUGGGGCAGUGAAUUCCCCUGGGCUAGCCUGUCUAUGAAGGUCUAUUUUCAACAUUUCAGGGUUUUCUGCAUGCACAGGCUUCACAUACAGGAGCUCUUGUUGAAGGAAGAUCAUUUGAUGACAUUGAAACACUUUGCAAUGAGACAAACAUUUGCAAUCAUUUUUAGGGGAAUGUACGCCUUACAUUGCAACAAUGAGAAUAAUUUGCAUUCUGAAUGAAGAGGAAAACAAAAUAGUGAAAUGUUAGGCAUGUCUUGGUUUGUAAAGAUGGGGACUAGCCCCCUGGGAGUUUGUACAAUUCCUCCCCUGAAGCCAUUUGUACUUCUUCAUUGUUUAUUUGCACAUACCUGGCUUCACACAAGAAAGGAAAGAUUUUUGUUUCUUCUGUUU
RNA transcript from Ailuropoda melanoleuca (giant panda), 3280 nucleotides. RefSeq lists it as uncharacterized. The transcript is spliced from 9 exons. The record is from RefSeq and is a predicted model, not a curated record. NCBI's taxonomy places the organism in Eukaryota, Metazoa, Chordata, Mammalia, Carnivora, Ursidae.